RNAcentral lists this ribosomal RNA (246 nucleotides) under uncultured Clostridium sp. Its description in RNAcentral is "partial 16S ribosomal RNA". It matches the Rfam family "Bacterial small subunit ribosomal RNA", at positions 796 to 1041 of the family's 1533-position model. The record is from RNAcentral. Lineage: Bacteria; Bacillati; Bacillota; Clostridia; Eubacteriales; Clostridiaceae. RNAcentral also lists the same sequence under 1 other name.
CACGCCGUAAACGAUGGAUACUAGGUGUAGGGGGUAUCAACUCCCCCUGUGCCGCAGUUAACACAAUAAGUAUCCCGCCUGGGGAGUACGGUCGCAAGAUUAAAACUCAAAGGAAUUGACGGGGGCCCGCACAAGCAGCGGAGCAUGUGGUUUAAUUCGAAGCAACGCGAAGAACCUUACCUGGACUUGACAUCCCUUGCAUAGCCUAGAGAUAGGUGAAGCCCUUCGGGGCAAGGAGACAGGUGG